RNAcentral lists this ribosomal RNA (408 nucleotides) under uncultured bacterium. RNAcentral describes it as "partial 16S ribosomal RNA". It matches the Rfam family "Bacterial small subunit ribosomal RNA", at positions 28 to 526 of the family's 1533-position model. The record is from RNAcentral.
GACGAACGCUGGCGGCGUGCUUAACACAUGCAAGUCGAACGACGUGGCGCACGGGUGAGUAACGCGUAAUCAACCUGCCCUUCAGUGGGGGACCACAGUUGGAAACGACUGCUAAUACCGCAUACUGAAGGUGGGGUUUUCGUCUGCUUAUCUAGUUGGAGGGGUAACGGCCCACCAAGGCGAUGAUCAGUAGCCGGUCUGAGAGGAUGAACGGCCACAUUGGGACGGAGACACGGUCCAGACGCCUACGGGAGGCAGCAGUGGGGAAUAUUGGACAAUGGGCGAAAGCCUGAUGCAGCCAUGCAGCGUGUGUGAAGAAGGUCUUCGGAUUGUAAAGCACUUUAAGUUGGGAGGCGUUACCAACAGAAGAAGCACCGGCUAACUACGUGCCAGCCGCCGCGGUAAUUC